UACGUAGGGUGCAAGCGUUAAUCGGAAUUACUGGGCGUAAAGCGCGCGUAGGCGGCUAGAUAAGUCGGAUGUGAAAUCCCCGGGCUCAACCUGGGAACUGCAUUCGAUACUGCUUGGCUAGAGUAUGAGAGAGGGAGGUAGAAUUCCGCGUGUAGCGGUGAAAUGCGUAGAUAUGUGGAGGAACACCGGUGGCGAAGGCGGCCCCCUGGCUUAAUACUGACGCUGAGGUGCGAAAGCGUGGGGAGCAAACAGG
This 253-nucleotide ribosomal RNA is filed under the name uncultured bacterium. Its description in RNAcentral is "partial 16S ribosomal RNA". It matches the Rfam family "Bacterial small subunit ribosomal RNA", at positions 524 to 776 of the family's 1533-position model. The record is from RNAcentral.